AUGGUGCAUAUAUGUAAGGAUCCGCAAAUUAUGCGCCCAUUUCUCACAUAUAUUCUUGAUAGUGUGAACGAGUUGUUUGCAGUCCCGUAUGCAAACUACAUUAUGCAGAAGAUGAUUGAAGUGGUUCAUGGGUUACACUUGAACAUGAUAGUGGAUGUGGUGAGGCGCAACAUGGUCACAUUGAUGGGGCUGCAGUUGCUUGUAGUGCCUGAAAAUCUCACAGUGCAUCCUAAUCCCCUAGGUGGACUUUGGAUUAGUGGUUGGGGGCGACCCUGGUUGAAUGCAGGUGUGUGUGCGUGGGGGGGGGGAUUUAUGGAAGGGAUUAGUGGUUGGGGGCGACCCUGGUUGAAUGCAGGUGUGUGUGCGUGGGGGGGGGGGAUUUAUGGAAGGCUUUGCCAGGAUCUCCCACCACAACGCACCUUGCCAACACCAGCUACCACGCUGCUCAUCGAAGGGCCCAUCUCUGUAGCACACAAUCCAGGACCGCUGCCUUGGCAUCCAAGAUCGCCACCCCACUGCCAUCGCAACACAAGACUGCCACCAAGGAAGCACUUUUGUGUGAACAUCAUUGGCUUGGAGCUAGACCGCCACCAGCCACACGAAGAGGGAACCUCUGGCAAUGUGGCCCGAUCUGACCUGGAUCUAGCCCCAAAACAAACGGUGUGGCCGAGGACAGGGCUUGCCGGGCAACAACCACUAUGGAGCCAAAUUCGGCAGCUCCAGAUCCGGUUGAGGCCGCACCCUCAAAUCCCGUUACACCCCUAUCCUAGGAACCCUGCCGAAGAAACUUCAUUGACGACUCAGCCACCGCCUGCCGGUCGCCAUGGUCCUUCGCGUCGCCCCUCUAGGCUUGUUCCGGCGUUGUGUGCCCUUCGAGGAAUACCGCCACGUGCCCAGGCCAAAGAGGAGAACGAUCUGGACUGCUCGGGACCAACAGAGCCACAACCACGUCCGGUCGAAAUCACCACCCUGAGCACGCCUAGUCCUGCCACCACGAGCCUGCCCCGCGGCAUGCCGCCGGAGCCCCGCAAGAGAGCACCCCGCCGCGGACAACGGCCGCUCGGGCUUCGCCCGGUGGCACCCUCCGACUACAACGCGGGGAGGAAGGAGUUUGGGACAGGUCUAUGGCUGUUUGAAUCUUUCUUCGACAUUAUGGUGAAGAUUGAGAUCAUCCAUACUCAACUAAUUAGAUCUGAAUUUCGUACUGAGAUGGAUAACAAAGGCAAAUCCAAGGCCAUUGACGAUUACGUGCGAACGGCAUCCCAGUUCCAUCGUAGCAGCGGGAUAGACAGCGGCAAAGAGAUAUGGGAGGACGAUGCUGCCACCAUUGCUCUUGGUGGCCGUCAACGUGACAGGAGCCUUUUCCUCAGCUUCUUAGAUGAACAGAUCAUAUCUAGAUUGAGAUAUGGUGACUCUCUGUUUCCCAUUAAGAGGUUGCACCGUAGACAUUUAGCGCGCGUGCGACAUUUAGUCGUCCUCCCCCUCGCUGGGGUUGUGUGUGAAAUAAGUUGUCAAAUCAUACUUCCUUGGAGACCAACCCCAGAGGACCCCUCCCCUCUUGGCUGCACAAUCUCCAUCCCACGAUUUGCAAUUUUUGGCCAAGAAAUCCAAAAACUGCCCUCUAAUGGAAAGAACUACCAUGACAGUUUCUAA
This 1653-nucleotide ribosomal RNA is filed under the name Triticum aestivum (bread wheat). RNAcentral's name for it is "partial small subunit ribosomal RNA". Lineage: Eukaryota; Viridiplantae; Streptophyta; Magnoliopsida; Poales; Poaceae. The record is from RNAcentral.